Molecule: ribosomal RNA, 253 nt
Filed under: uncultured bacterium
Lineage: Bacteria
Description: partial 16S ribosomal RNA
Rfam family: Bacterial small subunit ribosomal RNA
Source: RNAcentral
UACGUAGGGUGCGAGCGUUAAUCGAAAUUACUGGGCGUAAAGCGUGCGCAGGCGGUUUUGUAAGCCAGAUGUGAAAUCCCCGGGCUUAACCUGGGAAUGGCAUUUGGGACUGCAAGGCUGGAGUGCGGCAGAGGAGACUGGAAUUCCUGGUGUAGCAGUGAAAUGCGUAGAUAUCAGGAGGAAUACCGAUGGCGAAGGCAGGUCUCUGGGCUGACACUGACGCUCAUGCACGAAAGCGUGGGGAGCAAACAGG